CAAGUUGUCAACAAGUUUGUAACAUGUUAUCAGACGUGUUGCAAGGUUGUUCCAACAAGUCCGAUACAGCCGUGAUAUAACAAUAUUGUUACAACCUUGUAUCGUCAACCUUGUAACAUUCUUGUUGUAUAUCUGUAUCAAACUUGUUAGAACAACCUUAUGACAAGUCUGAUAAUGUUAUCAAGCUUGUUACAAGUUGUUAACAGCUUG
Non-coding RNA from Paramuricea clavata, 210 nucleotides. Lineage: Eukaryota; Metazoa; Cnidaria; Anthozoa; Malacalcyonacea; Plexauridae. The record is from the annotation of a GenBank genome assembly.